RNAcentral lists this small RNA (1409 nucleotides) under Pongo abelii (Sumatran orangutan). Its description in RNAcentral is "retained intron". The record is from RNAcentral. Lineage: Eukaryota; Metazoa; Chordata; Mammalia; Primates; Hominidae.
UUUCGGCGUCGGCCUCGGUGCGCGGCGAGCGCGCGCGGACUGCGCACAGGCGGCGGAGCCGGUAUGGGCCCGCCUGGCCUUGGGCGCCCCGCCGCACAAGCACCAACCUAGAGCCAGGACUGAAGCUUCAAGAUGGCUGACCAGGACCCUGCGGGCAUCAGCCCUCUCCAGCAAAUGGUAGCCUCAGGCGCCGGGGCUGUGGUCACCUCCCUCUUCAUGACACCCCUGGACGUGGUGAAGGUUCGCUUGCAGUCUCAGCGGCCCUCCAUGGCCAGCGUGCCCUCCUCUCUCCAAUCCACAGGGAAGUGCCUCCUGUACUGCAAUGGUGUCCUGGAGCCUCUGUACCUGUGCCCAAAUGGUGCCCGCUGUGCCACCUGGUUUCAAGACCCUACCCGCUUCACUGGCACCAUGGAUGCCUUCGUGAAGAUCGUGAGGCACGAGGGCACCAGGACCCUCUGGAGCGGCCUUCCCGCCACCCUAGUGAUGACUGUGCCAGCUACCGCCAUCUACUUCACUGCCUACGACCAACUGAAGGCCUUCCUGUGUGGUCGAGCCCUGACCUCUGACCUCUACGCACCCAUGGUGGCUGGCGCGCUGGCCCGCCGUGAGCAUAAUCUUGGGCCUUUGACCUCCCUCUGUCCCCACCUCUGCCCAAGCCCAGUCAGUCCCAGCUCCCAGCCCCAACCUCUGCCAGCCUGGGGGUGGGGGGGUGUUCUAGGUCCCCAGACCUGGGGCAGCAGGUAGGUGAUGCCAUGUAAGACCUGUGACCUCACUUCUCCCCAUUGUCACCCCCAAUCCCCGCACAGUGGGCACCGUGACUGUGAUUAGCCCCCUGGAGCUUAUGCGGACAAAGCUGCAGGCUCAGCAUGUAUCAUACCGGGAGCUGGGUGCCUGUGUUCGAACUGCGGUGGCUCAGGGUGGCUGGCGCUCACUGUGGCUGGGCUGGGGCCCCACUGCCCUUCGAGAUGUGCCCUUCUCAGGUAGGCACCCAGGCUGCAGGGCGUGGGUGAGGGAACCCUGGGGUGAUGCACAAAGGGUCUACGGCCAAGUCCCAGCUUUGUGACUAGUGACCAUGAAGUUACUUAGCUUUUCUGAGCCGUGGGUUUCUCAUUUGUGAAGUGGGCGUAGCAGGUAGAGUACUUGCCUAGGUGGUCAGGAGAUUCAUUCCUACAGAGUGCCUGCUUCCGACCCUGCACGUAGCAGACAAGACUCACAGCUGGGAGGGAGUGGUGGCAGUGAAAGAUGGAAGAUCUGGGGCCACUUCCUUGCCAUUCCCAUCUCUAAUCAGUGCAUCCCCCACCCCAAGCCCUGUACUGGUUCAACUAUGAGCUGGUGAAGAGCUGGCUCAGUGGGCUCAGGCCGAAGGACCAGACUUCUGUGGGCAUGAGCUUUGUGGCUGGUGGCAUCUC